UACUUACACGAGUCCGAUAGCAAACAAGUACCGUGAGGGAAAGUUGAAAAGUACUUUGAAGAGAGAGUAAACAGUGCGUGAAACCGUUCAAAGGUAAACAGGUGGAGUUGAACUGCAAGCUCUGGGAAUUCAACUGAUGAGUGUGAUUUGUGCUUGGGCAUACUGGCCGCCUUCAGUGUCUGUUUAAUUGCAGGUGCCUGCCUUUUUGGUGGGUAUGUGUGAAUCGUUUGCAUACGACGCACGCACUGUUGGUGUGAGGGUCUGCUUGUCAGUGCACUUUCUCAGGGUGUUCACCACGACCGGCACUGCUGCCUGUCUGCUAUGGCCAAACUGAUCAGGUCUGAUUUUUGUCAGUCUUGGUUGGGUCGGCAGGUGACUCUUUGGCUCAUCUAUGGGCUGUGAGUGUUACUAGCUGGCUGUAGUGGAGCUGUGCGGUGUGUUGGAGAUGGCGGCUUCGCAUGCGUGCCUAGACCUUCGGGCAUUGUUGAGUCUGGUCGGCUCGUUACUAGCUUCGGCUGGUCGGCCGAUGGCUUGAUUUUGUCACGUAGGCGGUUGCGUGUGUGGUUUGCAUUGGGCCAAUAGUCUGUGGUGUAGUGGUAGACGAUCCACCUGACCCGUCUUGAAACACGGACCAAGGAGUUUAACAUGUGCGCGAGUCAUUGGGUGUUACGAAACCCAAAGGCGAAGUGAAGGUAAAGGUUCGGCUUGUCCGGACUGAGGUGAGAUCCUGUUGUCUUGCUCAUACUUUCCAAGUUGCGAGCAGCGGGCGCAUCACCGGCCCGUCCCAUGACGUAGACAUGUGACCUCGUGUUGUGUGCACCGUCGGGGCGGAGCAAGAGCGUACACGUUGAGACCCGAAAGAUGGUGAACUAUGCUUGUGAAGGUUGAAGCCAGAGGAAACUCUGGUGGAGGACCGUAG
Molecule: ribosomal RNA, 919 nt
Filed under: Schistosoma spindalis
Lineage: Eukaryota; Metazoa; Platyhelminthes; Trematoda; Strigeidida; Schistosomatidae
Description: Schistosoma spindale partial large subunit ribosomal RNA
Rfam family: Eukaryotic large subunit ribosomal RNA
Source: RNAcentral